AAAAAUCCCGAGAUGCAUUCAAUAAAUAAUAGUACGUCUUUACUUGCUAAUUGCACAAUUCAAUUGUCUAACAUGCAUCUCAAUUAUCUAAUAAUCACUAAUCUACUCUAAUCUAACCACCUAAUUGCAUUUAAUUAAAUCUAAUGAACCCUUAAGCAUCAAUAGUCUACUAAGCAAUGAUUAGUGAGAUUACUCACUUGAUUAAAAGCGGGGACUAGGACACCGCGAUGGCGGCGGGCUUUCACAUCACCGGCAGGCUUGGACCGGGCCUUAAACUUGGGCCCAACAAAUCUCAGCCUAACUGAGAUUUGUUCUUACACUGGAUUGGGCUCACUCUUGGGCUUGGGCUUGACUGCGAUUGGGCCUUCUUCGCGAGCUGGACUUAGGCCAAACUUGCUGAAUUGGGUUCAAUGGAGUUGCUGGAUUUUUGGGCCAAAGACUUGGGCUGUUGGACUAUUUACUGGGCUGAUAUGCUGCAGAGAAGAUGGGCCCGUGAAACCUGGGCUAGACUGAGCUGAAUGCGCUUGGGUGGUUGAUGCGGGCAAAAGAAGACGGAAGCUGCUAGAACUGCUGGGCUGCUGGGCUUCAAGCUUCAGUGGGGUGUAGCUCGCGGAUGAAGGGGCAGCUGGCAACGGUAGCUAGCUUCGGACGUUGAUGCUGGAUGAAGGAGGAGGUGGCCUUCGGUGGAGAUAAUUCGUUGGUGAUGUGGGCUGAUUGAGGAAACACGAGCGUGGAGAAGCAGCUAUUGGCGAAGCUUCGACAGUGCUGGAGCUGCAAAAACAAUGGAGGGUGUUGCUGGCAACAGAUCCAUGCAUGGGCAUGGGCUUUUGCGGUCAACCAAGGAGCUUCGGUUGCUGCCGCUGUUGAGCGAACCAAGAGCAGACAUUGCCAAGUGGCAGCAAGGCCAAGCUGCUCGGUCAAAUUAGGAGUCUCAGUGGUCUUCAAUAGGCACUAGGGUUGACUGGCACGCUGGUAGCGAGAGAGAAGACACAGAGCAGCAAGCUUCAACGUGGAACUACUGCAGGUCUUCGGUGCUGGGGUUGGACCAAAUGUGGCUGAUGAAGACACGAAGCACGGAGUAGCUUCAGUGAAGACAUUGCUGCUAUUGACUAAAGGGAACGCGUGGAGAUGGCUGUCUUCACUGGCACCAAUUCGGUGGGAAGGGCAAAGAUCAGUGGAGCAGUAGCAUGAGGGGCAGGGAAGUUCGGCUCUGGCGAGAGAAAAUGAAAACAGGGCCGAAGACCGUGAAGCUCGAAGAUGCGUAGAAGGCAAGGCAGCGGUCAGGACGUGCG
This 1292-nucleotide long non-coding RNA is filed under the name Eucalyptus grandis. RNAcentral's name for it is "long non-coding RNA (EGRA_LNC004656)". The record is from RNAcentral. Lineage: Eukaryota; Viridiplantae; Streptophyta; Magnoliopsida; Myrtales; Myrtaceae.